CUGGGAAUGGGAAUACAGACGUGAGCCACCGUGCCCGGCCAAAUAGUGGUCUUUUAAGACUAGAUUUCUAUUGGUUUUGCUUGCUUUUUCCUCAGGCUUCAUGGAGUCUCCUUCACUCAUACAGAGUUUUGCUGUGAGACAUGGAUUUGGGCAGUUCUAUCGCAUUUCUUCUCUGGUUCUCAUUCCCAAGAUUUCCUACUUAAAUUUGCAGUGGCUUUUCAAGUCUUAACUCCAGUCUCUGGCACUUGUUGCCAGUAAGGCUAUGAUUUCUUUUUUUUUUCUAACAGUAUUUCCCACAGCCAUAGUCAUGAAGAUUGGGCAGGAUCCUCGAUCCCAAAACCAGAAACAGCGUUCUUCGGAAGAAUGGCUGAUUCUGCAUCUAUGGCUGAGAAAAUACAAGCUGAGCCUAGAGCAUCUUGUACUGCCAGAAAUUAAAGAAGUGUUCAGAAGACAGAAGAAUUUGGGGACAUGUCAAAAGGACAAAGAAGCCAACAUGACCCAAAGACCUUUGGUCUUUGGAAUUAUAUAUUUUGAACAACAAAAUAUAUAUUUUGAACAACAAAAUAUAUAAGGUAUAAGGUAGUAUUGAAUAAGCCAAAUGAAUCUACUAUACAACAGGAAAAAUAGUAACUUCAGUAAAUUUACAGUGCAGAAACCCGGCAAA
This is a non-coding RNA of Macaca mulatta (Rhesus monkey), 664 nucleotides long. NCBI's taxonomy places the organism in Eukaryota, Metazoa, Chordata, Mammalia, Primates, Cercopithecidae. The record is from RefSeq and is a predicted model, not a curated record.